UCAUCAGGUAGGAUAAUCCUUACCUGUUCCUCUAUGCAGAGGGCAGAUAGAACAUGAUGAUUUGAGUUGACAUGAUUUGUGAUUAACGUCUCUGCGUGAUUAAGGCUUGCAUAGCCCUAAUUGCUCCUAUCUGAU
Sorex fumeus (smoky shrew) is the source of this 135-nucleotide small nucleolar RNA. RefSeq annotates it as U8 small nucleolar RNA. The transcript has a single exon. NCBI's taxonomy places the organism in Eukaryota, Metazoa, Chordata, Mammalia, Eulipotyphla, Soricidae. The record is from RefSeq and is a predicted model, not a curated record.